GAUAUUUUUGUCUGUCACAUAGAUUUCUAUAAAAGAUGCAGUGUGGAGAGAGAUCUCCCUAAGAGCAGAAGCAUUGAAGUUUUUUUUAUAAGUAUCAAGAGAUCUUCAUGAUUUGCCGAAGGCGCUGGAUGCCGUAUCCCGUUGAAGAGCCCAAGUUCCAGUUGACUUCGGUGUUUGAAUCCCAUUAAAAACUCGAUGAAAGCCUGCUUAAAAACCCACUGACGCUUCUACGAACCCACCAGCCCGCUACGCACCUUCCUUCGGUCUUUCCACUUUUACGUUUGUGCACAAAGUCCAGCUCGAUACCCGCACAUCUCGUCUUUUCCACAUGCAUGCCAGCCCCCAUACCAC
Molecule: long non-coding RNA, 351 nt
Filed under: Elaeis guineensis (African oil palm)
Lineage: Eukaryota; Viridiplantae; Streptophyta; Magnoliopsida; Arecales; Arecaceae
Description: long non-coding RNA (EGUI_LNC053659)
Source: RNAcentral